AUGAAGUAAAUCCAAAGGAGGGUUUUUGCCUUUUCCACCAUGUGAGAACACAGUAAGGAGACACUAUCUACAAACCAGGAUGUGCCUUCACCGGAUACCAUGUCUGCAGGCCUAUUGAUCUUGGACUUUCCAGACUCCAGAACUGUGAGAAAUUUCUGUUGCUCAUAAGCUACACAGUCUAUGGUAUUUUAUUAUAGUAGCCUGAAUGGACUGAGACACUGAAGAUGUGGAGCAAUGGGCAAACUUUACACCAUGCCUUUGUGAGAAUGCAUUGGUAAUAGCACUUCAGAAAAUAUUUACACUCUGUCUAGGGAGUCCUUUCACCACUGUACUUUCUCAAUAAACUUGCUUUUACUUUGCACUGAAUUCUUUCUUGUGUGAAUUCCAAGAACCCACUUUUAUACACCUUAUCAGUGUAAGAUAUAAUGUCCUUCCAUCCCCCAAAAAUGUCUACCUCCUAAUCCCCUAAAUCUGUGAAACUGUUACCCUACAUGAAAACAGGCAACCUACAGAUAUAAAUUAAGGGUCUUGAGAUGGAGAGAUUAUUCUGGAUUACCUAGAUGUGCCUAAUCACAAGAGUCAUUAUAAGAGAGGCAGGAGGCUCAGAGUUAUCGAUGUGAUGAUGAAAUUGAGAUGUGUGUGAGUGUGUGUAAGAGAGAUUGGAAAGUGCUACUCUGUUGGCCUUGGAGGUGGAAGAAGGGAGCUAUAAGCUAAGAAAUAGAGAUAGCCUCUAGAAGCUGAAAAAGGCAAGGAAGUGGAUUAUCUCCUACAGCAAGGGUCCCCAUUCCCCAGGUGGCAGACUGGUACCAGUCCAUGGCCUGUUAGGAACCUGGCUGCACAGCAGGAGGUGAGUGGCAGAGACCCAGCAUUACUGCCUGAGCUCUGGUUCCUGUCAGAUCAGCAGCAACAUUAGAUUCUCAUAGGAGCCCGAACCCUACUGUGAACUGAACAUGCGAGGAAUGUAGGGUAAGUGCUCCUUAUAAGAACCUCACUAUCUCAUACCAG
This 1005-nucleotide long non-coding RNA is filed under the name Homo sapiens (human). RNAcentral describes it as "non-protein coding lnc-LRRTM4-8:1". Lineage: Eukaryota; Metazoa; Chordata; Mammalia; Primates; Hominidae. The record is from RNAcentral.